AUUCACUUUGGCAGAAUAUAAUGCAUUAGCCUUAGAAGCUAAAUAUAGGAUUUCCUAAGUGAAUG
RNAcentral lists this transfer RNA (65 nucleotides) under Laemobothrion maximum. Its description in RNAcentral is "tRNA-Leu". It matches the Rfam family "tRNA". Rfam says of the family: Transfer RNA (tRNA) molecules are approximately 80 nucleotides in length. Their secondary structure includes four short double-helical elements and three loops (D, anti-codon, and T loops). Further hydrogen bonds mediate the characteristic L-shaped molecular structure. tRNAs have two regions of fundamental functional importance: the anti-codon, which is responsible for specific mRNA codon recognition, and the 3' end, to which the tRNAs corresponding amino acid is attached (by aminoacyl-tRNA synthetases). tRNAs cope with the degeneracy of the genetic code in two manners: having more than one tRNA (with a specific anti-codon) for a particular amino acid; and 'wobble' base-pairing, i.e. permitting non-standard base-pairing at the 3rd anti-codon position. The record is from RNAcentral. Lineage: Eukaryota; Metazoa; Arthropoda; Insecta; Psocodea; Laemobothriidae.